UGCUAUCAAGCUUACUUUGCCCACUACCUCGCCUGUGGUUAUUACAAUAUCAUUAAAAGUUACAUAAAGUAACGGUUUAAUAACACAAACGCAGGAAACCCGUGAGCUGCUAGUUUAGCGAAAGCAGCGUCCAUAGCAACCUGACGUCGUUGAAACUAAUUCCUAAUAACUAUAAAACUAAAGAUCAGACACAAUCACUGAUUGAAGAUUAUGUAUAAUAGGGAAUAUUGCACUACGGACCUCUAUGUUGUUACACAUAACGGAACCGGAAGUUAAUGACUGUUUAGAUGUAAACAUACCAGCACCUUUAGCUGCUCAUGACAUGUUUGGUUAUUGUCAUUUCACUGCUAUCUUUCAUUAAAGAAAGUGAACAAAUGGAAAGUUGUUCUUAUUUAUAACCAAACACCUGGAUGAAGCCAAGCAGACACCUCCGACGUCGCGAAAAAAUGCGAUCAAACGAAUGAGCGGGCCGCGAGUGUAUUUACAAGUAACGUCGCCCGGGAACCUGCGCACAUGAGCGCAUAAUUUUUUUUUUUUUUUUUUUUUUCUUAUAAAACUGUGGAACCAAGGAUGGAUGUGCCUUGCCCUAUCGAGGAGUGUGACCAUGUGGCUACACAUGCGGAAGUAGCGGUGGUGGUGGCCAUGCUGAACAUACACGCGACCACACACACUGCAGCCCCCAGGGAACCGCGCGCAAACGCCAAAGUGGAGAAACUCAGGCGCCCGUCCAUAGCAUUGGCUGGAACAGCCGAGACCUGGUCAUACUUCCUAACCCGCUGGGGUGAGUACAAGAGGGGCACUAAACUAAUUGGAUCAGAUGUUGUCACACAACUGCUAGAGUGCUGUGAGGAGGAUCUGAGAAAAGACCUCACCCGUGCUGCAGGUAAAAGCCUAGUGGACAGUGAUGAAAAGGACGUUCUCUCUGCCAUAAGGGCACUCUCUGUCCGUGCAGAAAACACAAUGGUAGCUCGAGUGGCCCUAUCUAACAUGCGACAGGGACACGAAGAGCCCAUCCGAUCAUUUCAUGCUCGCUUAAAGGGGCAGGCAGGCACGUGUAAAUACGAAAUUACAUGCACUAAGGAGGGGUGUGACCAAGUCAACGACUUCACAGAGGAAAUAUUGCGCGAUGUGAUCGCCCGCGGCAUAGCAGACCAAGAAAUACAGCUCGAUCUGCUUGGCGAAAAGAAUCAGGAUAUGCCACUAAAGGACAUAAUAGAGUACAUCGAAGCCAAAGAGUCAGGGAAGCGCUCAGCGUCACGCCUGCUUAACCCUCAGAGCACGGACACUAUCAGCAGCUCAUAUCGACGGGGGAAGCAGCAGGACGUCCGCGCCAGAGGGGGCGCCAGAGCGGAGCAAUCCAAGGUCAAGGCCGAGGGGACGUGCAUCUACUGCGGCGAGGCAGGCCACGGCAAGACGCCUCAGUGGCGUGCCAGGCGCGCCGAGUGCCCCGCGUACGGCAAGACGUGCCGGAAAUGCAACCGUCAAAACCACCUCGAAAAGGCCUGCCUGGGUGGCCGGUCAUCUAGGCCCGCACCGGAGGAGACAGAUGGGGUGUGCGACGAACAGCAGGCGACCGCCUUCGGCGAGCUGUGCACACUCACCAGCACCGCCGACAUGGUACGCACACUCCCCCUCGCUCACCACCUGUAUGAUGACAUGUGUGACAAGUGGAUGAAGCGCCCGUCCAACUCACAGCCAUACAUCCACCUCACACUCACCAUUGAAAACGAGGAUUACAAAGCACUGGGCCUCGACCUCCGGAAACGCACCCGCACUGUGACCCUGCCUGCCAUGGCUGACACGGGGUGCCAGAGCUGCCUGAUCGGCGUCAAGGUCGCCCAACAGAUGGGCCUGAACACAGACGACCUCAUUCCUGUAUCCAUGACCAUGAAGGCCGCGAAUAAUGAAGGCAUACGGAUCCUCGGGGCCGCCGUCGUCAGGUUCGCCGGUAACAGCAGCGACGCCCGGAGAUUGGAGACGCGCCAGAUCGCGUACGUGACUGACACCUCAGACCGUAUAUUCCUGUCUCGUACAGCCUGUGUGGACCUGGGCAUGAUCUCAGACAGGUUCCCAACACUCGGGGAGGUCAACCUUGCAACCUCAGACCCAUGUGACUGCCCGCGGCGUGCGGAACCUCCGACCAAGCCAACCACGCUCCCCAUGCCGGCCACGGAGGCUAACAGGGGAGCUCUAAGGAAACACUUACUUGGACUAUACGCUCAGAGCACAUUCAAUACAUUUCCCCACCAGCCCUUGCCGAGAAUGUCUGGUCCACCUCUUCGUCUCAUGCUCAAUGAGAAUGCAACGCCGGUCGCCUGCCACACCCCCAUCCCAGUCGCCAUACACUGGCAAGGUGAGGUGAAGGCGGGCCUUGACCAGGACGUUCGUCUUGGCGUGCUGGAAGAAGUGCCCAUUGGCACGCCAGUGACGUGGUGUCACCGCAUGGUGAUCUGCGCAAAGAAGAACGGCAAGCCACGACGUACCGUCGAUUUCCAAGCACUGAACAAGCAUGCGCUCCGUGAGACCCACCACACGCAAUCUCCCUUCCACCAGGCGAGACAGGUGCCCAGUGGGAAAUGCAAGACUGUAUUCGACGCCUGGAAUGGCUACCACAGCGUCCCACUGCAUGAAGAUGACCGCCACAAGACGACGUUCAUCACGCCAUGGGGGCGCUACCGGUACCUUUCGGCGCCACAGGGGUACAUAGCGUCGGGAGACGGUUAUUCACGGCGCUAUGAUGAGGUGGUUGCGGACAUCGGCAACAAGACUAAGUGUGUGGACGACACACUCCUGUGGGCUGAUACAGUUGAGGAGAGUUACUUCCAGGCGGCACAAUGGCUGGACGUUUGUGGCAGGAACGGUAUCAUCCUCAACCCGGAAAAAUUUGUCUUCGCCGCACCCUCGGUGGACUUCGCGGGCUUCACGAUCACCAUGUCUGACGUACGGCCAUGCAGCCGUUACCUGGAGGCUAUCCGAGACUUCCCACGACCGCGCAACGUCACCGAUGUCAGGUCCUGGUUCGGACUGGUCAACCAGGUGGCCUACGCCUUCAGUAUGGCCGAACGCAUGCAACCGUUCCGGAAACUCCUACUGCAUGGGGUACGCUUCGAGUGGUCUCCGGAAUUAGAGAACGUUUUCCGCGAAUCAAAGGAGGAGAUCGUCCAGGAGAUCGAGCGUGGCGUCCGCAUCUUUGACAAGUCCAAGCCAACAUGCCUCGCAACGGACUGGUCAAAGGAGGGAGUCGGCUUCUGGCUGUUCCAGAAGCACUGUCAGUGCACGCCGGUCAGGCCCUUCUGCUGCGCUGAUGGAUGGAAGGUGACCCUGGUUGGCAGCAGGUUCACACACGCGGCCGAGUCCAGGUACGCGCCUGUAGAGGGCGAGGCGCUUGCGGUCGCUGACGCCUUGGACAAAGCGCGCUACUUCGUGUUGGGCUGCAGGGACCUGAUUGUGGCAGUCGACCACAAGCCGUUACUCAAACUCCUUGGCGACAGAGCACUCGACGACAUACCCAACCCCCGUCUCAGGAACCUCAAGGAGAAGACCCUGCGCUAUUGUUUCCGCAUCAUUCAUGUCCCCGGGAUGAAGAACAGGGCUGCAGAUGCCAUGUCGCGCAGGCCGGUCGGCACACAGUGCCCGUCGCCCAUGGAUCUUCCAGACGACAAUACCGCCAUGGUGACCCACCUCUCACCCAGCGCACACGCUGAUGUGCUGUCUCUCAUACGGUGGGCAGGGCCGGUGGCCGAUGAUGUUGAGGAGGGCGACCUGGCCUGGUGCGCUGCGGGGCUUGAAUCGCUGCAGUCCGUGACAUGGGACCGUGUCAGGGAGGCCAUGAGCAGCAGCGAUGAUAUGCGCACGUUGGAGGAGAUGGCGGCAGACAGCUUCCCCGAGUCAAGGGCUGGGAUGCCAGCGGCGAUUCGUGGCUUCCACCAGUACCGCGAGGAUAUCACAUCAGCUGAUGGGGUGGUCCUGUACAAGGAUAGGGUAGUCAUACCACCCUCACUCCGUGGCGAAGUGCUGAGCGCCCUGCACGCUGCCCACCAAGGCGUCUCCAUGAUGACCGCCCGCGCGGAGUCGUCUGUGUUCUGGCCAGGCAUGUCGGCUGACAUCUGCGCCACUCGGAAUAACUGUGAACACUGCCACCGGAUGGCGCCCUCUCAGCCCGCGGCGCCGCCGACCCCGCCUGUCAUGGCCAUUUACCCCUUCCAGGCUGUGUGUUCAGACUUUUUCAUGCACAGGGGUGUGCACUAUCUUGUGAUAGUUGACCGCUACUCGAAUUGGCCAAUCAUCUCGAGGUCGACGGGUGGCGCCGCAGACCUCAUAUGCCACCUACGCCGUGCCUUUGCCACGUACGGGACUCCAGAGGAGCUUGCAUCGGACGGGGGGCCAGAGUUCACCUCCGCCGAGACCAGGUCUUUCCUUCACAGAUGGGGCGUACACCACCGCCUCUCAUCGGUGGCCUUCCCCCACAGCAACUGCCGCGCAGAGAUCGGGGUGAAGACGAUGAAGUGGCUCAUCACUGACAAUACAGGCCCGAAAGGCGAACUCGACACCGACGCUGUGCAGAGGGCGAUACUCCAGUACCGUAAUACGCCGGACCCUGACACAAAGCUAUCCCCGGCGAUGUGUGUCUUCGGCCGGCCCAUCCGCGACUUCAUCCCGAUUCCACCCGGGAGGUACAGGCCGCACGUAACAUGGCGU
Gadus morhua (Atlantic cod) is the source of this 4698-nucleotide long non-coding RNA. Lineage: Eukaryota; Metazoa; Chordata; Actinopteri; Gadiformes; Gadidae. The record is from Ensembl.